RNAcentral lists this ribosomal RNA (403 nucleotides) under bacterium. Its description in RNAcentral is "partial 16S ribosomal RNA". It matches the Rfam family "Bacterial small subunit ribosomal RNA", at positions 355 to 776 of the family's 1533-position model. The record is from RNAcentral.
UGGGGAAUAUUGCACAAUGGGGGAAACCCUGAUGCAGCGACGCCGCGUGAACGAAGAAGGUAUUCGUAUCGUAAAGUUCUGUCCUAUGGGAAGAUAAUGACAGUACCAUAGAAGAAAGCUCCGGCUAAAUACGUGCCAGCAGCCGCGGUAAUACGUAUGGAGCGAGCGUUGUCCGGAAUUAUUGGGCGUAAAGGGUACGCAGGCGGUUUAAUAAGUCGAAUGUUAAAGAUCGGGGCUCAACCCCGCAAAGCAUUGGAAACUGAUAAACUUGAGUAGUGGAGAGGAAAGUGGAAUUCCUAGUGUAGUGGUGAAAUACGUAGAUAUUAGGAGGAAUACCAUUAGCGAAGGCGACUUUCUGGACACAAACUGACGCUGAGGUACGAAAGCGUGGGGAGCAAACAGG